RNAcentral lists this ribosomal RNA (208 nucleotides) under uncultured Smithella sp. Its description in RNAcentral is "partial 16S ribosomal RNA". It matches the Rfam family "Bacterial small subunit ribosomal RNA", at positions 568 to 775 of the family's 1533-position model. Lineage: Bacteria; Pseudomonadati; Thermodesulfobacteriota; Syntrophia; Syntrophales; Smithellaceae. The record is from RNAcentral.
CGUGUAGGCGGCUGGAUAAGUCAGAUGUGAAAGCCCUGGGCUUAACCCAGGAAGUGCAUUUGAAACUGUUCAGCUUGAGUAAGGGAGAGGAGAGUGGAAUUCCUGGUGUAGAGGUGAAAUUCGUAGAUAUCAGGAGGAACACCGGUGGCGAAGGCGACUUUCUGGCCCUAUACUGACGCUGAGACGCGAGAGCGUGGGUAGCAAACAG